Molecule: ribosomal RNA, 216 nt
Filed under: Vibrio parahaemolyticus
Lineage: Bacteria; Pseudomonadati; Pseudomonadota; Gammaproteobacteria; Vibrionales; Vibrionaceae
Description: partial 16S ribosomal RNA
Rfam family: Bacterial small subunit ribosomal RNA
Source: RNAcentral
AAAUUGAAGAGUUUGAUCAUGGCUCAGAUUGAACGCUGGCGGCAGGCCUAACACAUGCAAGUCGAGCGGAAACGAGUUAUCAGAACCUUCGGGGGACGAUAGCGGCGUCGAGCGGCGGACGGGUGAGUAAUGCCUAGGAAAUUGCCCUGAUGUGGGGGAUAACCAUUGGAAACGAUGGCUAAUACCGCAUGAUGCCUACGGGCCAAAGAGGGGGAC